GACAUCCGAAUAAAAAGUUAUUGUCGUUUGAAUUUGCUCAGAGCUUCAACAUUCAAUUUCGAGCGUUCCGAUAUAUUACGGGACUCAAUCAGACAUCCGAGUAAAAAGUUAUUGUCGUUUGAAUUUGCUCAGAGCUUCUACAUUCAAUUUCGAGCGUUCCGAUAUGUUACGGGACUCAAUCGGACAUCCGAGUAAAAAGUUAUUGUCGUUUUAAUUUGCUCAG
RNAcentral lists this long non-coding RNA (223 nucleotides) under Glycine max (soybean). Its description in RNAcentral is "long non-coding RNA (GMAX_LNC004744)". Lineage: Eukaryota; Viridiplantae; Streptophyta; Magnoliopsida; Fabales; Fabaceae. The record is from RNAcentral.